AACUGUGCUAUUUAUUGUAGAGGGAGGAAGAAGAAGAGGAAGAAGAGGUUAAAUUGAUUAGCAGCAUAUUUGAUCGAGCUCGUGGUAGCUCAUCUAACACUGAUGAUGAAGAUAUUUUGCCUGAAUUUGAAGACCUUUUAUCUGGAGAGAUUGAAUACCAGUUACCUAUUGACAAGUAUGACGAGGCAGAGAAGAAUAAAGUUUAUGAAACUGAGAUGGCAGACAAUGCAAGGGAACUAGAACGCUUGCGCAGCCUAGUACUGG
This 264-nucleotide long non-coding RNA is filed under the name Citrus sinensis (sweet orange). RNAcentral's name for it is "long non-coding RNA (CSIN_LNC002913)". The record is from RNAcentral. Lineage: Eukaryota; Viridiplantae; Streptophyta; Magnoliopsida; Sapindales; Rutaceae.